This 23-nucleotide non-coding RNA is filed under the name Xenopus tropicalis (tropical clawed frog). Lineage: Eukaryota; Metazoa; Chordata; Amphibia; Anura; Pipidae. The record is from RNAcentral. RNAcentral also lists the same sequence under 2 other names.
AGGGUUCAAGUCCCUGUUCGGGC